UUUCUUUUUCCAUUUCUUUUUUCCUUUUUUAUUACAUUUUUUUUUUGAAAAUAAACAUGCUAUGAUGCAAAUGAUGCAAACACGACUGGCUGGCUGUGCAUCUCGGAGCACAGGUUCAAAGCUUCGGCUUGAAUUCGGAACCACAGAGUCAUCUGAGACCCAAAAUCAUCUAAGACCCAUAUCUCGGAACCAAGUCACCAACAGGACCCAAGAGUC
Molecule: long non-coding RNA, 216 nt
Filed under: Lathyrus oleraceus (garden pea)
Lineage: Eukaryota; Viridiplantae; Streptophyta; Magnoliopsida; Fabales; Fabaceae
Description: Pisum sativum (pea) long non-coding RNA (PSAT_LNC022677)
Source: RNAcentral